RNAcentral lists this ribosomal RNA (231 nucleotides) under uncultured bacterium. Its description in RNAcentral is "partial 16S ribosomal RNA". It matches the Rfam family "Bacterial small subunit ribosomal RNA", at positions 118 to 351 of the family's 1533-position model. The record is from RNAcentral.
UGAGCAACCUGCCCUUAGCUCUGGGAUAACCCCGGGAAACCGGGGCUAAUACCGGAUACGAGUCCGAGCGGCAUCACGCGGACUGGAAAGUUUUUCGGCUAAGGAUGGGCUCACGGCCUAUCAGCUUGUUGGUGGGGUAAUGGCCUACCAAGGCUUCGACGGGUAGCCGACCUGAGAGGGUGAUCGGCCACAUUGGAACUGAGACACGGUCCAGACUCCUACGGGAGGCAG